GUAAUAUAAAAGCUAGAUCUCCACUCUUAUCAUUGAUUGUGAUGGAUACAGAAGGAUUAACAACAUAUGUGCACACAGGAAAAUCAUGAAGAUGACUUCCUAUUAAACUGAACAAACAAUUCAUCUCUUUACAUCUCAAUCAGUUCCAAUCCAUCAAAAAAGCAUUCUGGUGGAUUCACUUUAAAGCCCCACUUUUGGAGCCUCUCUUAACAUCCAGUAAAGGGAGGUGGAACAUGGGCGGUGACGAAAAUUUUAUUGGGAUUUAGAGGCAAGUACCUUUAACUUUUUUCUUUAGCAAUACCAUAGACAGCUGAAAGAACAGGAACACAAUUAUCCUUGUGGUAAAAGUAUGUCUCGUUUUACAGCUUCCAUUACAUUUGUUCUUUGGGAUGUAUAGGGGAGAGUGAGUAGAAAAACUAGGAGUGUCAAUUAUGCAAACUAGCCCUAUUUGUAGUAAACCAAAGCUUAGUCACACAUAAGCCAAUGGAAGACAUGAGGGCAGAAGUGUAAGCACCUCAGUGUCUUACUUUUGACUAUCAUCAGUUAAAAUGUCAGGGACUACUUACAAGAAGCUAAUUUUCAUCGCCUGCUUGAAGAAUUUGACGUAAUGCAGCUGUAUUGUCCUUGUGACAUUUGGGACAUACCGACCUCCUCUGUAGCUCAUCUCCAAGGGAAGCACAUUUGUUUUCCAAUUCAGAAGUCUGCUUACUUCCAGUCAAGGACACAACGAUUGUUGACAAAUCUAAAGCAAGGGUGCCGAUUUCAUAUGUAUUUUUU
RNAcentral lists this unclassified non-coding RNA (777 nucleotides) under Hevea brasiliensis (rubber tree). The record is from RNAcentral. Lineage: Eukaryota; Viridiplantae; Streptophyta; Magnoliopsida; Malpighiales; Euphorbiaceae.